RNAcentral lists this ribosomal RNA (462 nucleotides) under uncultured bacterium. Its description in RNAcentral is "partial 16S ribosomal RNA". It matches the Rfam family "Bacterial small subunit ribosomal RNA", at positions 28 to 507 of the family's 1533-position model. The record is from RNAcentral.
GACGAACGCUGGCGGCGUGCUUAACACAUGCAAGUCGAACGGAAAGGCCCUUCGGGGUACUCGAGUGGCGAACGGGUGAGUAACACGUGGGUGAUCUGCCCUGCACUUUGGGAUAAGCCUGGGAAACUGGGUCUAAUACCGAAUAGGACCACGCGCUUCAUGGUGUGUGGUGGAAAGCUUUUGCGGUGUGAGAUGGGCCCGCGGCCUAUCAGCUUGUUGGUGGGGUAAUGGCCUACCAAGGCGACGACGGGUAGCCGGCCUGAGAGGGUGACCGGCCACACUGGGACUGAGAUACGGCCCAGACUCCUACGGGAGGCAGCAGUGGGGAAUAUUGCACAAUGGGCGCAAGCCUGAUGCAGCGACGCCGCGUGAGGGAUGACGGCCUUCGGGUUGUAAACCUCUUUCAAUAGGGACGAAGCGCAAGUGACGGUACCUAUAGAAGAAGCACCGGCCAACUACGUG